CUGAAAAUAAAGGGCCGCAUAAGGGGGCGGCAAAAGCCUUGAAAGCAAGCAAAUUGCCGCGUGCAGAGGAAGGAAAGGUCUUCGUGACUGUAAACUCGCUUUUCGGCGAGGGACGAAAAGCGCCC
This 125-nucleotide ribosomal RNA is filed under the name uncultured bacterium. RNAcentral's name for it is "partial 16S ribosomal RNA". The record is from RNAcentral.